CUCCUUUUGCUUUUUUUUGCUUGGUCGUGCAGUUUGGAUCACGCCGACUACCAGCUGAAUCAACAACAAAAAAUGAUCCCAGGGACGAACGGCGGCGAUGAGUGGUUUGGGGCUAGGUGAGCGGCGGCCGUCGUCCCGCAACGAUAUGAGUGGGCCCAGCGGGAGCUCGGACUCUACGCUGUUCUCUCAAGCCCGGUGUGGUGGACGACGCCUCGCCAGCAACAAACACCUGGCCAUAGUCGGGCACAGUCCGUGACUCAGGGGUUGGAGGCAUCCUUGUCUAGCCGAUGAGCUGGUUAUGGUCGGGCGGGCAGCGCGGCGUGGCUGCUGCGUGAAGAGUGAUUAUCACUCCGACAGGUGGAUGCACACGUAUAAUGGGUGUGUCAUGGCUGUAUUUUUCCCGUGACUAUCGGAAAGUAAUCUCCUUUAUAUGACUAUAUUUUGGGGGGAAUUUGUACUUAGAUGGCUAAGCAACAAAGGCAGGAGAUUCCAGCGAUAGAUUUGAGGUCGGCGCCUCACGAAGGCAUGCUCCUUGCCGGGAGAGGCAGGGGCAUCCUUUCUUGGUCUGCAUCUUUCACCUCUGUUGCUUCAGGUGAGCCC
This 600-nucleotide ribosomal RNA is filed under the name Triticum aestivum (bread wheat). RNAcentral describes it as "partial small subunit ribosomal RNA". The record is from RNAcentral. Lineage: Eukaryota; Viridiplantae; Streptophyta; Magnoliopsida; Poales; Poaceae.